AUUGAACGCUGGCGGCAGGCCUAACACAUGCAAGUCGAGCGGAUGAAGGGAGCUUGCUCCUGGAUUCAGCGGCGGACGGGUGAGUAAUGCCUAGGAAUCUGCCUGGUAGUGGGGGAUAACGUCCGGAAACGGGCGCUAAUACCGCAUACGUCCUGAGGGAGAAAAUGGGGGAUAUUCGGACCUCACGCUAUCAGAUGAGCCUAGGUCGGAUUAGCUAGUUGGUGGGGUAAAGGCCUACCAAGGCGACGAUCCGUAACUGGUCUGAGAGGAAGAUCAGUCACACUGGAACUGAGAAACGGUCGAGACUACUAAGGGAGGGAGCCGGGGGGAAUACUGGACAAAGGGCGAAAGGCUGAACCAGCCAUGACGGGUGUGUGAAGAAGGCCUUCGGAUUGUAAAGCACUUUAAGUUGGGAGGAAGGGCAGUAAGUUAAUACCUUGCUGUUUUGACGUUACCAACAGAAUAAGCACCGGCUAACUUCGUG
Molecule: ribosomal RNA, 484 nt
Filed under: uncultured bacterium
Lineage: Bacteria
Description: partial 16S ribosomal RNA
Rfam family: Bacterial small subunit ribosomal RNA
Source: RNAcentral